Molecule: ribosomal RNA, 459 nt
Filed under: uncultured bacterium
Lineage: Bacteria
Description: partial 16S ribosomal RNA
Rfam family: Bacterial small subunit ribosomal RNA
Source: RNAcentral
CCUACGGGUGGCAGCAGUGAGGAAUAUUGGUCAAUGGGCGCGAGCCUGAACCAGCCAAGUCGCGUGAGGGAAGACGGUCCUAUGGAUUGUAAACCUCUUUUGUCGGGGAGCAAAAGACGCCACGCGUGGCGUUCCGCGAGUACCCGACGAACAAGCAUCGGCUAACUCCGUGCCAGCAGCCGCGGUAAUCCGGAGGAUGCGAGCGUUAUCCGGAUUUAUUGGGUUUAAAGGGUGCGCAGGCGGAAGAUCAAGUCAGCGGUAAAAUUGAGAGGCUCAACCUCUUCGAGCCGUUGAAACUGGUUGUCUUGAGUGAGUGAGAAGUAUGCGGAAUGCGUGGUGUAGCGGUGAAAUGCAUAGAGAUCACGCAGAACUCCGAUUGCGAAGGCAGCAUACCGGCGCUCAACUGACGCUCAUGCACGAAAGUGUGGGUAUCGAACAGGAUUAGAUACCCGGGUAGUC